Molecule: ribosomal RNA, 406 nt
Filed under: uncultured bacterium
Lineage: Bacteria
Description: partial 16S ribosomal RNA
Rfam family: Bacterial small subunit ribosomal RNA
Source: RNAcentral
AUUGAACGCUGGCGGCAGGCCUAACACAUGCAAGUCGAACGAGUGGCGGACGGGUGAGUAAUGUCUGGGAAACUGCCUGAUGGAGGGGGAUAACUACUGGAAACGGUAGCUAAUACCGCAUACCAUCAGAUGUGCCCAGAUGGGAUUAGCUUGUUGGUGGGGUAACGGCUCACCAAGGCGACGAUCCCUAGCUGGUCUGAGAGGAUGACCAGCCACACUGGAACGGAGACACGGUCCAGACUCCUACGGGAGGCAGCAGUUGGGAAUAUUUGACAAAGGGCGCAAGCCUUAUUCAGCCAUGCCGCGUGUAUGAAGAAGGCCUUCGGGUUGGAAAGUACUUUCAGGCGGGAGGCGUUACCCGCAGGAGAAGCCCCGGCUUACUCCGGGCCAACCGCCGCGGUAAUAC